Molecule: long non-coding RNA, 1175 nt
Filed under: Equus caballus (horse)
Lineage: Eukaryota; Metazoa; Chordata; Mammalia; Perissodactyla; Equidae
Description: lncRNA (ENSECAG00000047628.1)
Source: RNAcentral
CAGGUCGACUCCCCGGGAGACGUGGUGGAAGCUUGGGGUCAGUGGGGGGAGGGCUGCCCAGCUGUGAGGCAGGAGGGGUUAAGGGAGGGUGACAGGCAAAAGCCACACGGUUCCUGGCUGCCCUCCAGCGACGGUCAGCUGCCUGGGAGGGGGGAAGAGAAGCUGCCUAGGAAUGAGUCCCCAGGAGCAAUGACCUUUCUUGAGCGCUUCCUCCGUGCCAGGCACACUGCUGUCCUCUCUCCAGACGAUGGGCUGCGCCACAGGAAAUUUUGUGAAAUAGAUGCUAUGAUUAUUCUCAUGUGACGGACAGAAGCCCUGGGUGUCAGGGUCACACAGCUAGCAGGUUACCACACCUCCAUUGGUCUGCAGCUAAAGUCCUGGCUACCAUAAAGAGAAAGGGUGGUAGGGGGACAGUGUCCAUUUGGGAUGACUCAAUGGGAAGCGUCCUGAGUAUUUUUUUCUUGAUCCCCCCCGCCCCCAGGAAAGUGGACAGGAACAUGAGCCGGGUGGACAAAUACAGGGAGAGAGGCCCCAUAGCAUGUAGGCAGGGCCUCGUCUGGAGACAUGUCUGUGACUGGCUCUGUGACCUCAGAGAUUGUGCUAAGAACGCUUGGAUGUUUGUAGACAUGGGCAUGGCAGGAAUCUAUGGAGUCUGGCCUUGUCACCACGUCCCUCUGGCAUUUGCUCUGUGACCUGGGACAAGUGAGCCAGUCCUCCUAAGCCUCACCCCUCUGCGCCCUCCUCUGUAUUCCGGGCAUGAUGCUAGUGCCCACCUCCUACCACGGGGCGAGGGCUCCAUGAUCUAGUAGACGAGGAGGCUUAGAGCAGCGCCUGCUCCCGGCCUGAUGAACCUGAGAAGUGUCCUUCGUUACUGACGCAGACCACAUUCCUGGUGGCCCGCCCUGCUGCCGCGGAUUUUUCUCCUGAGAAAGCCCCUUGGGAGAACAAGGAGGGGUUGAGGAUUUGCGCCUUUGCCAGGCGUGGCUCUGGCUGAGGGGCCGUGGGUGAAGGAGACUCAGGGUUCCCCGAGGCUGGAUGGACGUCCAGGCUUAUUCACCGGGGUUAUGAGUGUUGCUGCUCCGCUUCUUCUGCGCCUGCCUGUAUUCAGAAGCACAGGCCAGCCCGGCUUAGACUGGGCGUGGGGCUGCGGGCCUGCCCAGCAUGCUGGGUCCUCC